GAUGAACGCUAGCUACAGGCUUAACACAUGCAAGUCGAGGGGCAGCACAAGGCGGCAAUGCUGAGGUGGCGACCGGCGCACGGGUGCGUAACGCGUAUCCAACCUUCCCGUUACUCUUGGAUAGCCUUCCGAAAGGGAGAUUAAUACAAGAUGGUGUUGAAAUUCCGCAUGUUAUUUCAACUAAAGAUUUAUCGGUAACGGAUGGGGAUGCGUGACAUUAGAUAGAUGGCGGGGUAACGGCCCACCAUGUCCACGAUGUCUAGGGGUUCUGAGAGGAAGGUCCCCCCACACUGGAACUGAGACACGGUCCAGACUCCUACGGGAGGCAGCAGUGAGGAAUAUUGGUCAAUGGAGGCAACUCUGAACCAGCCAAGUAGCGUGCAGGACGACGGCCCUAUGGGUUGUAAACUGCUUUUAUGCGGGGAUAAAUGAUCCUACGUGUAGGAUUUUGCAGGUACCGCAUGAAUAAGGCCGNUAAUCCGUGCCAGCAGCCG
This 494-nucleotide ribosomal RNA is filed under the name uncultured bacterium. RNAcentral's name for it is "bacterial SSU rRNA". It matches the Rfam family "Bacterial small subunit ribosomal RNA", at positions 28 to 517 of the family's 1533-position model. The record is from RNAcentral.